RNAcentral lists this ribosomal RNA (798 nucleotides) under human gut metagenome. Its description in RNAcentral is "bacterial SSU rRNA". It matches the Rfam family "Bacterial small subunit ribosomal RNA", at positions 8 to 801 of the family's 1533-position model. The record is from RNAcentral.
AGAGUUUGAUCCUGGCUCAGGAUGAACGCUAGCGACAGGCUUAACACAUGCAAGUCGAGGGGCAUCAUGAGGUAGCAAUACCUUGAUGGCGACCGGCGCACGGGUGAGUAACGCGUAUGCAACCUGCCCGAUACCGGGGUAUAGCCCAUGGAAACGUGGAUUAACACCCCAUAGUACUUUUAUCCUGCAUGGGAUAGGAGUUAAAUGUUCAAGGUAUCGGAUGGGCAUGCGUCCUAUUAGUUAGUUGGCGGGGUAACAGCCCACCAAGACGAUGAUAGGUAGGGGUUCUGAGAGGAAGGUCCCCCACAUUGGAACUGAGACACGGUCCAAACUCCUACGGGAGGCAGCAGUGAGGAAUAUUGGUCAAUGGACGUAAGUCUGAACCAGCCAAGUCGCGUGAGGGAAGACUGCCCUAUGGGUUGUAAACCUCUUUUAUAAGGGAAGAAUAAGUUCUACGUGUAGAAUGAUGCCUGUACCUUAUGAAUAAGCAUCGGCUAACUCCGUGCCAGCAGCCGCGGUAAUACGGAGGAUGCGAGCGUUAUCCGGAUUUAUUGGGUUUAAAGGGUGCGUAGGCGGUUUAUUAAGUUAGUGGUUAAAUAUUUGAGCUAAACUCAAUUGUGCCAUUAAUACUGGUAAACUGGAGUACAGACGAGGUAGGCGGAAUAAGUUAAGUAGCGGUGAAAUGCAUAGAUAUAACUUAGAACUCCGAUAGCGAAGGCAGCUUACCAGACUGUAACUGACGCUGAUGCACGAGAGCGUGGGUAGCGAACAGGAUUAGAUACCCUGGUAGUCCACGCC